RNAcentral lists this ribosomal RNA (603 nucleotides) under Podoscypha multizonata. Its description in RNAcentral is "SSU rRNA". It matches the Rfam family "Bacterial small subunit ribosomal RNA", at positions 356 to 962 of the family's 1533-position model. The record is from RNAcentral. Lineage: Eukaryota; Fungi; Basidiomycota; Agaricomycetes; Polyporales; Podoscyphaceae.
CAAGAAUAUUAGUCAAUGCUCUCACGAGUGAACUAGCUAACUGAAAUCAUUUGUGUGUCACAAGUGAUAACGUAAAGGAAAAUUAUGAUAUUACUUUACUAUUAGUGUCGUCCAAAACUGGUGCCAGAAGACUCGGUAAGGCCAGAGACGCAAACGUUAAUCAUCUUUAUCAGGCGUAAAGGGUUUGUAGGCUGCUUUAAGAUCCUCACAUUUUAAAAUAGUAGUAAAUAGAGCAAUCACAAAAUUUAAGACUUUAUUUAAUAAGAUGUGAGAUAAGUUAAAGCUAGAAUCAAAUAGAGGUUGUCAAAUAUAAUGCUUAGAGUAGGGCCGAUAUCCUAAGAUCCUAAGUAGAAUACUAAAGGCGAAGGCUUUCUUCCACUAAUGAUUGACGCUGAGAAACGAAGGUUAGGAUAGGAAAUAGGAUUAGAUACCCUAGUACCCCUCUCUGUCAACGAUGAAUGGUAGUUAUUCAACUAAAUUGAGUAGCGAUGUUAACGCGAUAACCAUUCCGCCUUGUGAGUACAAUUGCAAAAUUGAAAACAAAAAAAUUAGUCGGUCUUGAAGCAAACGGAGUGAAGCAUGUUAUUUAAUUCGAUAAUCCGC